Molecule: ribosomal RNA, 253 nt
Filed under: uncultured bacterium
Lineage: Bacteria
Description: partial 16S ribosomal RNA
Rfam family: Bacterial small subunit ribosomal RNA
Source: RNAcentral
UACAGAGGGGGCGAGCGUUAUUCGGAAUUAUUGGGCGUAAAGGGCGCGUAGGCGGCCACGCCAGUCUUGGGUGAAAUCCCUCGGCUCAACCGAGGAACUGCCUUGGAAACUGCAUGGCUCGAGGCCGGGAGAGGGUAGCGGAAUUCCCAGUGUAGCGGUGAAAUGCGUAGAUAUUGGGAGGAACACCGGUGGCGAAGGCGGCUACCUGGACCGGUUCUGACGCUGAUGCGCGAAAGCGUGGGGAGCAAACAGG